RNAcentral lists this long non-coding RNA (484 nucleotides) under Physcomitrium patens. RNAcentral describes it as "long non-coding RNA (PPAT_LNC010621)". Lineage: Eukaryota; Viridiplantae; Streptophyta; Bryopsida; Funariales; Funariaceae. The record is from RNAcentral.
UUUCACUCAACUUUAGAACAAACCUAAUUAAAUCUUAAACCCUAAUAAUUCCUAAACCCUAAGUCAAAUCCUAAAUAAAUCUUAAAUUAAACCCUAUUCGAAAUCCUAAAUCCUAAACCAAAUCCUAAAUCAAAUCCUAAACCAAAUCCUAAUCCAAUCCUAAAUCCUAAACCAAACCUUAAAUCAAAUCCUAACCAAAUCCUAAUCCAAAUCCUAAAUCAAAUCCUAACCAAAUCCUAAAUCCUAAUCCAAACCCUAAUCCAAAUCCUAAUCUAAUCCUAAAUUCUAAUCCAAAUCCUAAACCCUAAAUCAAAUCUUAAAUCAAAUCCUAACCAAACUCUAAUCCAAACCCUAAAUCAAAUCCUAACUAAAUCUUAAACUCUAAUCCAAAUCCUAAUCCAAACACUAAUCCAAUCCUAAACUCUAAUCCAAACCCUAAAUCCUAAACCAAACCUUAAAUCAAACCCUAACCAAAUCUUAAAUC